RNAcentral lists this microRNA (22 nucleotides) under Sus scrofa (pig). The record is from RNAcentral. Lineage: Eukaryota; Metazoa; Chordata; Mammalia; Artiodactyla; Suidae.
CCGGAGGAGGAGGAGGGGGCGC